UACGUAGGGUGCAAGCGUUUAAUCGGAAUUACUGGGCGUAAAGAGCUCGUAGGUGGUUUGUCGCGUUGUCCGUGAAAUUCCCUGGCUUAACUGGGGGCGUGCGGCGAUACGGGCAGACUGGAGUACUGCAGGGGAGACUGGAAUUCCUGGUGUAGCGGUGGAAUGCGCAGAUAUCAGGAAGGAACACCCGGUGGCGAAGGCGGGUCU
RNAcentral lists this ribosomal RNA (207 nucleotides) under uncultured bacterium. RNAcentral's name for it is "partial 16S ribosomal RNA". It matches the Rfam family "Bacterial small subunit ribosomal RNA", at positions 524 to 728 of the family's 1533-position model. The record is from RNAcentral.